RNAcentral lists this ribosomal RNA (433 nucleotides) under uncultured bacterium. RNAcentral's name for it is "partial 16S ribosomal RNA". It matches the Rfam family "Bacterial small subunit ribosomal RNA", at positions 29 to 507 of the family's 1533-position model. The record is from RNAcentral.
AACGAACGCUGGCGGCAUGCCUAACACAUGCAAGUUGAACGAUCCCUUCGGGGCUAGUGGCGCACGGGUGCGUAACGCGUGGGAACCUGCCCUUAGGUUCGGAAUAACUCAGAGAAAUUUGAGCUAAUACCGGAUAAUGUCUUCGGACCAAAGAUUUAUCGCCUUUGGAUGGGCCCGCGUUGGAUUAGCUAGUUGGUGGGGUAAAGGCCUACCAAGGCGACGAUCCAUAGCUGGUCUGAGAGGAUGAUCAGCCACACUGGGACUGAGACACGGCCCAGACUCCUACGGGAGGCAGCAGUGGGGAAUAUUGGACAAUGGGCGAAAGCCUGAUCCAGCAAUGCCGCGUGAGUGAUGAAGGCCUUAGGGUUGUAAAGCUCUUUUACCCGGGAUGAUAAUGACAGUACCGGGAGAAUAAGCCCCGGCUAACUCCGUG